CAAGUGCUGGCAAGGAUGUGGGGAAAAGGGUACACUUGUACAUUGCUGGUGGGACUGCAAAUUGGUGCAGCCAAUUUGGAAAGCAGUAUGGAGAUUUCUUGGAAAGCUGGGAAUGGAGCCACCAUUUGACCCAGCUAUUCCCCUUCUCGGUCUAUUCCCUAAAGACCUAAAAAGAGCAUGCUACAGGGACACUGCUACAUCGAUGUUCAUAGCAGCANUUUGGAGGCAAGAUCUCACUAAGUUGCUGAGGGCCCCAUUAUGUUGCUGAGGCUGACUUUGAACUUGAAAUCUUCCUGCCUCUGUUUCCCAAGCCACUAGAAUUACAGUUGUGGGCCACUACACCCAGCCCACAGUUUUUAUUUGGGAUGAUGAAAAGGUUUUAAAAAUAGAUAAUGGGAAUAUUUUUUCACAUCAUUGGAAAUAUAACUCUGUUAUAUACUUAAAGGUUUAAGUGGCAACUUUAGUUAUAUAAAUAUUUUAGUAUAAUCAAAAAGCAAGGGAGGCAGUGGAAAGCAGCAGACUGUACUAAGGAUCUUUGGCACUUUGAUCUUUUGUAUCCCUCCUAACUACUUAGUGGCACACAGGCCACUGAAAGCUCUUGGCUGUCACUGACACCAAGUAGCCUGGAAUCAAUCUAAAGGUUUUGAGUCAUCAUUUUGCCUCUGUGUUUCUGUGAAACUUGGCAAGUCCUUUAAUUCCUCAGAGCCUGGGUUCCCUUCAGUAGAAUGUGUAGGUGGGUCAGAUUGAUCUACCUCAUGAUUUUUAACCCAUUAGAGAGAAAAAGCGUUCAUUUGAAACAAGGAGGUAAGUUUGAAAAUGGUCAAAAUACUGGUUGCUUUUAUAUAUAUGUAUUUGCGGGGAGGGUGGUGGAAUUGGGGAUUGAACUCAGGGGCACACAACCACUCCACCACAUCCCCCGCCCUAUUUUAUAUUUUAUUUAGAGACAAGGUCUCACUGAGUUGCUUAGCACCUUGCUGUUGCUGAGCCUGGCUUUGAACUCACAGCCCUCCUGUCUCAGCCUCCAGAGCCUCUGGGAUUACGGGCAUUUGCCCCCGCACCCAGUUGGUUACUUAUAUUUUAAUGUGUCAUUAGUGGAAUAACUUAGGAGUUGGCAAACUGUGGCCGUAGGCCAAAUCAUUGUUUUAUAAUGAAGUUUUAUUGAUCACAGCCACAUCCAUUCAUUCGUACAUCACCUAUGGCUGCUUUCAUACUACAAUGGUGGUAGCCUAUCUGGACUGUACAUCCAAAAAUGUUAACUCUGGUCCAUUACAUAAAACGUAAUUUGCUGACCCCAGGAUUAGAUGAUUACAUUUAAUUGUGCUCUGAAAUGGCACACAGAGAGAAAGAAAAAGCUUCUACCACCUUUACUGAAACAGAGAAAAAAGACUCCCAUUGAUGAUUGUGUAAAAUGAAUUUUAAAACAACUCCAUAUCAUGUACAACCACAAGAAUGAGAUCGUAAUUAGAAUAAGUUA
Molecule: long non-coding RNA, 1474 nt
Filed under: Marmota monax (woodchuck)
Lineage: Eukaryota; Metazoa; Chordata; Mammalia; Rodentia; Sciuridae
Source: RNAcentral